This 900-nucleotide ribosomal RNA is filed under the name uncultured marine bacterium. Its description in RNAcentral is "bacterial SSU rRNA". It matches the Rfam family "Bacterial small subunit ribosomal RNA", at positions 8 to 916 of the family's 1533-position model. The record is from RNAcentral.
AGAGUUGAUUCCUGGCUCAGGACGAACGCUGGCGGCGUGCUUAAUACAUGCAAGUCGAACGAGGUCCAUCCGAUCUUCGGAUUGGUGAAGACCUAGUGGCGAACGGGUGCGUAACACGUGAGAAACCUGCCCCGGUCUCUGGAAUAACAGUUGGAAACGGCUGCUAAUACCGGAUGCCGUCGGCCCACCGCAUGGUGGACCGACGAAAGGGUUACCGGACCGGGAGGGUCUCGCGGCCUAUCAGCUUGUUGGUGAGGUAACGGCUCACCAAGGCAUCGACGGGUAGCUGGUCUGAGAGGAUGAUCAGCCACACUGGGACUGAGACACGGCCCAGACUCCUACGGGAGGCAGCAGUAGGGAAUAUUGCACAAUGGGCGAAAGCCUGAUGCAGCAACGCCGCGUGCGGGAAGAAGGCCCUAGGGUUGUAAACCGCUUUCAGCAGGGAAGAAAAUGACGGUACCUGCAGAAGAAGGUGCGGCCAACUACGUGCCAGCAGCCGCGGUGACACGUAGGCACCAAGCGUUGUCCGGAUUUAUUGGGCGUAAAGAGCUCGUAGGCGGUUCAGUAAGUCGGGUGUGAAAACUCUGGGCUCAACCCAGAGACGCCACUCGAUACUGCUGUGACUAGAGUGCGGUAGGGGAGCGGGGAAUUCCUAGUGUAGCGGUGAAAUGCGCAGAUAUUAGGAGGAACACCAGUGGCGAAGGCGCCGCUCUGGGCCGUAACUGACGCUGAGGAGCGAAAGCGUGGGUAGCAAACAGGAUUAGAUACCCUGGUAGUCCACGCCGUAAACGUUGGGCACUAUGUGUGGGUCUCAACCAACGAGAUCCGCGCCGUCGCUAACGCAUUAAGUGCCCCGCCUGGGGAGUACGGCCGCAAGGCUAAACUCAAAGGAAUUGACGG